Molecule: ribosomal RNA, 462 nt
Filed under: Photobacterium sp. GB-72
Lineage: Bacteria; Pseudomonadati; Pseudomonadota; Gammaproteobacteria; Vibrionales; Vibrionaceae
Also listed under: 1 other name
Description: bacterial SSU rRNA
Rfam family: Bacterial small subunit ribosomal RNA
Source: RNAcentral
UUAAUUGAAGAGUUUGAUCAUGGCUCAGAUUGAACGCUGGCGGCAGGCCUAACACAUGCAAGUCGAGCGGUAACAGAUUGAUAGCUUGCUAUCAAUGCUGACGAGCGGCGGACGGGUGAGUAAUGCCUGGGAAUAUGCCCUGAUGUGGGGGAUAACUAUUGGAAACGAUAGCUAAUACCGCAUAAUCUCUUCGGAGCAAAGAGGGGGACCUUCGGGCCUCUCGCGUCAGGAUUAGCCCAGGUGGGAUUAGCUUGUUGGUGGGGUAAUGGCUCACCAAGGCAACGAUCCCUAGCUGGUCUGAGAGGAUGAUCAGCCACACUGGAACUGAGACACGGUCCAGACUCCUACGGGAGGCAGCAGUGGGGAAUAUUGCACAAUGGGGGAAACCCUGAUGCAGCCAUGCCGCGUGUAUGAAGAAGGCCUUCGGGUUGUAAAGUACUUUCAGUUGUGAGGAAGGCGUUG